GGCUCGUUGGUCUAGGGGCAAUGAUACCUGCUUUGGGAGCGGGAGAUCCCGGGUUCAAAUCCCGGACGAGCAC
This is a non-coding RNA of Priapulus caudatus, 73 nucleotides long. NCBI's taxonomy places the organism in Eukaryota, Metazoa, Priapulida, Priapulimorpha, Priapulimorphida, Priapulidae. The record is from the annotation of a RefSeq genome assembly.